GCUCAGGAUGAACGCUGGCGGCGUGCCUAAUACAUGCAAGUCGAGCGAACAGACGAGGAGCUUGCUCCUUUGACGUUAGCGGCGGACGGGUGAGUAACACGUAGGUAACCUACCUAUAAGACUGGGAUAACUUCGGGAAACCGGAGCUAAUACCGGAUAAUAUUUCGAACCGCAUGGUUCGAUAGUGAAAGAUGGCUUUGCUAUCACUUAUAGAUGGACCUGCGCCGUAUUAGCUAGUUGGUAAGGUAACGGCUUACCAAGGCAACGAUACGUAGCCGACCUGAGAGGGUGAUCGGCCACACUGGAACUGAGACACGGUCCAGACUCCUACGGGAGGCAGCAGUAGGGAAUCUUCCGCAAUGGGCGAAAGCCUGACGGAGCAACGCCGCGUGAGUGAUGAAGGUCUUCGGAUCGUAAAACUCUGUUAUUAGGGAAGAACAAACGUGUAAGUAACUGUGCACGUCUUGACGGUACCUAAUCAGAAAGCCACGGCUAACUACGUGCCAGCAGCCGCGGUAAUACGUAGGUGGCAAGCGUUAUCCGGAAUUAUUGGGCGUAAAGCGCGCGUAGCCGGUUUUUUAAGUCUGAUGUGAAAGCCCACGGCUCAACCGUGGAGGGUCAUUGGAAACUGGAAAACUUGAGUGCAGAAGAGGAAAGUGGAAUUCCAUGUGUAGCGGUGAAAUGCGCAGAGAUAUGGAGGAACACCAGUGGCGAAGGCGACUUUCUGGUCUGUAACUGACGCUGAUGUGCGAAAGCGUGGGGAUCAAACAGGAUUAGAUACCCUGGUAGUCCACGCCGUAAACGAUGAGUGCUAAG
RNAcentral lists this ribosomal RNA (816 nucleotides) under Staphylococcus sp. KSUM_1. RNAcentral describes it as "bacterial SSU rRNA". It matches the Rfam family "Bacterial small subunit ribosomal RNA", at positions 22 to 820 of the family's 1533-position model. The record is from RNAcentral. Lineage: Bacteria; Bacillati; Bacillota; Bacilli; Caryophanales; Staphylococcaceae.